GAUCAUGGCUCAGGACGAACGCUGGCGGCGUGCUUAACACGUGCAAGUCGAACGAGAAUCUGCGGAACGAGGAUUCGUCCAAGUGAAGCAGAGGACAGUGGCGGACGGGUGAGUAACGCGUGAGGAACCUGCCUUUCAGAGGGGGACAACAGUUGGAAACGACUGCUAAUACCGCAUGACACAUAGAUGUCGCAUGGCAUUUAUGUAAAAGAUUUAUCGCUGAAAGAUGG
RNAcentral lists this ribosomal RNA (230 nucleotides) under uncultured bacterium. Its description in RNAcentral is "partial 16S ribosomal RNA". It matches the Rfam family "Bacterial small subunit ribosomal RNA", at positions 15 to 228 of the family's 1533-position model. The record is from RNAcentral.